GGGGGAGAGGGGAUGCCAAAAGGAGAGAGAGGAGAGAGGAUGCCAGACGGAGUGAGGAGAAAGGAUGCCAGAAUGAGAGAGGAGGAGAGAGGAUGCCAGAAGGAAAGGAGAGGAGCGAGGAUGCCAGAAGGAGAGAGAGGAGGAGAGGAUGCCAGGAGGGGGAGAGAGGAUGCCAAAAGGAGAGAGAGGAGAGAGGAUGCCAGAAGGAGAGAGAGGGGGAGAGGAUGCCAGAAGGAGAGAGGAGGGGGGAUGCCAGAAGGAGAGAGGAGAAAGGAUGCCAGAAGCAGAGAGGAGAGGAGAGAGGAUGCCAGAAGGAGAGAGGAGAGAGGAUGCCAGAAGGAGAGAGGAGAGGAGAGGAUGCCAGAAUUAGAGAGGAGGAGAGAGGAUGCCAGAAGGAAAGGAGAGGAGCGAGGAUGCCAGAAGGAGAGAGAGGAGGAGAGGAUGCCAGGAGGGGGAGAGAGGAUGCCAAAAGGAGAGAGAGGAGAGAGGAUGCCAGACGGAGUGAGGAGAAAGGAUGCCAGAAGCAGAGAGGAGAGGAGAGAGGAUGCCAGAAGGAGAGAGGAGAGAGGAUGCCAGAAGGAGAGAGGAGAGGAGAGGAUGCCAGAAGGAGAGAGGGGAGAGAGGAUGCCAAAAGGAGAGAGGAGGAGAGGAUGCCAGAAGGAGAGAGAGGAGGAGAGAGUAUGCCAAAUGGAGAGAGAGGAUAGCGGAUGUCAAAAGGAGAGAGGAUGGGAGAGGGGAUGCCAAAAGGAGAGAGAGGAGAGAGGAUGCCAAAAGGAGAGAGAGGAGAGAGGAUGCCAGAAGGAGAGAGAGGAGAGAGGAUGCCAGAAGCAGAGAGGAGAGGAGAGAGGAUGCCAGAAGCAGAGAGGAGAGAGCAUGCCAGAAGGAGAGAGGAGAGGAUGCCAGAAGGAGAGAGAGGAGAGAGGAUGCCAAAAGGAGAGAGGAGAGAGAAUGCCAGAAGGAGAGAGGAGAGAGGAUGCCAGAAGGAGAGGAGGAGAGAGGAUGCCAGAAGGAGAGAGGAUGCCAGAAGAGAGAGAGAGGAGAGAGGAUGCCAGAAUGAGAGAGGAGGAGAGAGGAUGCCAGAAGGAAAGGAGAGGAGCGAGGAUGCCAGAAGGAGAGAGAGGAGGAGAGGAAUCCAGGCUGGGGGAGAAAGGAUGCCAACAGGAGAGAGAGGAUGCCAGAAGGAGAGGAGGAGAGAGGAUGCCAGAAGGAGAGAGGAGGAGAGAGGAUGCCAGAAGGAGAGAGGAGGAGAGGAUGCCAGAAGGAGAGAGGAGGAGAGAGGAUGCCAGAAGGAGAGAGGAUGCCAGAAGGAGAGAGAGGAGGAGAGGAUGCAAGAAGGAGAGAGGAUGCCAGAAGGAGAGAGGAGAAAGGAUGCCAGAAGCAGAGAGGAGAGGAGAGAGGAUGCCAGAAGGAGAGGGGAUGCCAAGAGGAGAGAGGAGAGAGGAUGCCAGAAGGAGAGGAGGAGAGAGGAUGCCAGAAGGAGAGAGUAGGAGAGGAUGCCAGAAGGAGAGAGGAGGAGAGAGGAUGCCAUAAUGAGAGAGAGGAGAAGAGAGGAUGCCAGAAGGAGAGAGGAGAGGAGAGAGGAUGCCAGAAGGAGAGAGAGAUGCCAGAAGGAGAGAGGAGAGGAGAGAGGAUGCCAGAAGCAGAGAGGAGAGAGCAUGCCAGAAGGAGAGAGGAGAGGAGAGGAUGCCAGAAGGAGAGAGGAGGAGAGGAUGCCAGAAGGAGAGAGGAGGAGAGAGGAUGCCAUAAGGAGAGAGGAGAGAGGAUGCCAGAAGCAGAGAGGAGAGGAGAGAGGAUGCCAGAAGCAGAGAGGAGAGAGCAUGCCAGAAGGAGAGAGGAGAGGAGAGGAUGCCAGAAGGAGAGAGAGGAGAGAGGAUGCCAAAAGGAGAGAGGAGAGAGAAUGCCAGAAGGAGAGAGGAGAGGAGAGGAUGCCAGAAGGAGAGAGAGGAGAGAGGAAGAGAAGAAAUGCAAGAGGGAUAUUAGGAGGAGGCUGAUUGAAGAAUAUACAAACACACACUGAUUACACACACCCAAACACACGCACACAAACACACACAGACACGCAAACACACACACGCAAACACUCACUAAGAGAGUGGCCGGGCAGUGUUGUAUUAGUAGAUAUCUGAUACUCUGGGGGCCCUUCUGUGUGAUUUACAGCCCUGUGUAGAAGGUAUAGAGGCUUUAUUACAGGUAAGGGCUGACCACAGCCUGUCUGUCUCACACACAGGGGUCAGGGUUAAAAGUGCAAGAGCUAUUUUCUUUGUAAUACUCUUCCUUAAAGAGUGAUAAAAGCAACAGCUUUAUGUUAUCCCCGUGUAUCUGCCUGCCCCAUCAACGAGAGAGAGAGAGAGAGAGAGAGAGAGAGAGAGAGAGAGAGAGAGAGAGAGAGAGAGAGAGAGAGAGAGAGAGAGAAAGAGUGUGUGUGUUUGUGUAUUUCUGUAUUUCUGUGUGUCUCUUCCUGCAUCAUCAAUCGGUAGCUCUUUGUUGUUUUCAUUCGCUGUGUCUUCAGGACAUUGCACCAGAUGUCCUUAUUCAAGAAGUCUCUGAAUGCAGUCUUGUUUAAUAGAUGGAAUAAACAGAGAACUAUUUCUAUUUUUGAACUGGAACCCGUUGCCAAGGCAAGAAAUAUGGAACUUUUAUUGAAUCUGCCUCUUUAAACUUCUGGAGGUUCCUGGCUGCUGAAAGACACGCUACACACACACACACACACACACACACACACACACACACACUCACUUACACACACGGGCACACAGACACACACUCAAAACAUCUACACAUUAGCUUAUACACAGAGCAGAAUAUGUACACACACACACACUAGCUAGCUAAUUGGGACAGAGAAGCGGGAGCUGAAAUCUAUUAGCAGGCGGGAGGCUUGGAGCCGGAGCCGGCCAGGCUGACUGGUAGCUGAUGAGGCCUUUAGAGACACACACACACACACACACACACACACACACACACACUCUCCACUGGGCUGCUUUCGCUCUUUCUCUCCCUCUCUCUCUCUCAGCUCUCUCUCUCUCUCUCAGCCAGACCAGGCAUGGCUCUUAUUAGGGCCUGGCUGGUUAGCUCCUGCUCCUGCCUUUAAUGUCCACUUGCCCAAAUUGGACUUCAUGUGACUGGAGUAAAUUAAUAUUUUUUCACUGAGCCGCCAAACAUGAAAUCAAAGGUAUUUUUAAUGGACUUUCUCUUCUAACGGGGAAACCUGAUCUAGUAUAUAGUGUACCUGAGGAUUCAUGUUGACUCAUUUCUCUGUUUUUCCACUCCCUUCUAGUCUG
Long non-coding RNA from Oncorhynchus tshawytscha (Chinook salmon), 3281 nucleotides. Lineage: Eukaryota; Metazoa; Chordata; Actinopteri; Salmoniformes; Salmonidae. The record is from Ensembl.